Molecule: ribosomal RNA, 319 nt
Filed under: uncultured bacterium
Lineage: Bacteria
Description: bacterial SSU rRNA
Rfam family: Bacterial small subunit ribosomal RNA
Source: RNAcentral
GGACGAACGCUAGCGGCGUGCCUAAGGUAUGCAAGUCGAACGGGGGCUUCGGCCCUAGUGGCGAACGGUCGCGUAACACGUAGACAACCUGCCUUCCAGUGGGGGAUACCAGCCCGAAAGGGCUGCUAAUACCGCAUGUCGGUGGGGAGCGGCAUCGCUCCCUGACUAAAGGCGCAAGCCGCUGGGAGAUGGGUCUGCGGCCUAUCAGCUAGUUGGUGGGGUAACGGCCUACCAAGGCGACGACGGGUAGCGGGUCUGAGAGGAUGAUCCGCCGGACGGGGACUGAGACACGGCCCCGACUCCUUCGGGAGGCAGCAAU